RNAcentral lists this small RNA (1119 nucleotides) under Pan troglodytes (chimpanzee). RNAcentral describes it as "retained intron". The record is from RNAcentral. Lineage: Eukaryota; Metazoa; Chordata; Mammalia; Primates; Hominidae.
CCCACAGAGAUGCCAUUUGUGGGCAGCUCCAGUGCCAGACAGGUAGGACCCAGCCUCUGCUGGGCUCCAUCCAGGAUCUACUCUGGGAGACAAUAGAUGUGAAUGGGACUGAGCUGAACUGCAGCUGGGUGCACCUGGACCUGGGCAGUGAUGUGGCCCAGCCCCUCCUGACUCUGCCUGGCACAGCCUGUGGCCCUGGCCUGGUGUGUAUAGACCAUCGAUGCCAGCGUGUGGAUCUCCUGGGGGCACAGGAAUGUCGAAGCAAAUGCCAUGGACAUGGGGUCUGUGACAGCAACAGGCACUGCUACUGUGAGGAGGGCUGGGCACCCCCUGACUGCACCACUCAGCUCAAAGCAACCAGCUCCCUGACCACAGGGCUGCUCCUCAGCCUCCUGGUCUUAUUGGUCCUGGUGAUGCUUGGUGCCAGCUACUGGUACCGUGCCCGCCUGCACCAGCGACUCUGCCAGCUCAAGGGACCCACCUGCCAGUACAGGGCAGCCCAAUCUGGUCCCCCUGAACGGCCAGGACCUCCGCAGAGGGCCCUGCUGGCACAAGGCACUAAGGCUAGUGCUCUCAGCUUCCCGGCCCCCCCUUCCAGGCCGUUGCCGCCUGACCCUGUGUCCAAGAGACUCCAGUGGUGCUCUUCAUUAGGUGAUCGGGGUGCCCCUCAGCCUUCAGACACUCUGAGCCCCAGAAGCAGCAAAGGUCUCAGGGGCCAGCCAAGCCCCCACCCCCAAGGAAGCCAUUGCCUGCCGACCCCCAGGGCCGGUGCCCAUCGGGUGACCUGCCCGGCCCAGGGGCUGGAAUCCCGCCCCUAGUGGUACCCUCCAGACCAGCGCCACCGCCCCCGACAGUGUCCUCGCUCUACCUCUGACCUCUCCGGAGGUUCCGCUGCCUCCAAGCCGGACUUAGGGCUUCAAGAGGCGGGCGUGCCCUCUGGAGUCCCCUACCAUGACUGAAGGCGCCAGAGACUGGCGGUGUCUUAAGGCUCCGGGCACCGCCACGCGCUGUCAAGCAACACUCUGCGGACCUGCCGGCGUAGUUGCAGCGGGGGCUUGGGGAGGGGCUGGGGGUUGGACGGGAUUGAGGAAGGUCCGCACAGCCUGUCUCUGCUCAGCU